GGGUAUUAAAAUCCUAAUGCUGAUACAUUUCCUUUCCAAUUUUAUAGGAGAAAUUUAGGUGGACAUGAGCAUGGUACGCUUUCCACUGUACGUGGUAGGAGCCUUUCCGCAGUACAUGGUGGGAGCCUUUCCACAGUACAUGGUGGGAAGCGAAGAAGAGAAGCAUGUCAGAGUGUGAGGUGUGGUGGUCGUGAGUUGUACAAACACAUAUGGCAUUCUCCUCAUGGUAGUGUGAAUAAAGAUCUAAUGGGGCCAAAGGUAAUGGAGAAAAUAGAAAAUUACUUUGUAAGUAUCCGUGGCCUCCCUCAACCCUUUGUUUUCUUCCAAGGAGAAAAAAGUCUUUCUGGUUGAAUCUCAUUUUCUGUGCAGAGUUUAAGUGAUGGGAUGAUUCUUACAAGAAAAGCAGUCAAAGCCCAGGGUAAAACAAACAUGGAGGGAAAGUCAUGUAGCAGGGAGAGUGUCUGUAGGCAGCCCGAGCUGUUGGGGAGAGACUGGUAGGAGGGUCCCUCUCUACAAGGAGGCAGAUGAGAGAGAGAGUAGAAGAGGGAAGAUCACUUUGAGGGGCCAAGUCAAGUUUAUAAAGAGUUGAGGAGUAAGAAAACGGUCCAUUAAAAAGAAUGUUAAGUCAUGUGGCUUAUAUUAACAACACACAAUCUGUUUGUAGGCAUUUUCCCCCACCAAGAGACUUAGUAAAGAUUCCAACUGCUUUUAUUUACUAUUUGAAAAUAGGCCAUUUGGGAAUAGGGACUCAAUUAUAUUUAGAUUCUAAUUAAAUAACCUAUCGAUUUGGAAUACUAUUAUCUAUUUAUUAGCCUAAAUUACUUCUCCUACUACUUUCUUUAUUUUAAAUUUUGAUAAUACACUUUCCUAAGUAGUAAUAAAUCUGAGAAAUAUUUCAGAAAUGUAUUUUUAAAUCAAUAAAAAAAAUAAAGUUCUAGCCGGGUACCAGGCCUCCUGCCAAGUACAGUAAUUGUUACUUGUGGAAUUUUCUUAGAAUGGCCAAGGCAUUUGACUCAAUAACCAUAACUCUGGAACGAGUAGCUGGGUGGAGACAUUCGUCUGUUGGAAAGUUGGUGGGCAGGUCAAGCCCAUAUGCUGGAAGAAGAGAUUUAUGGAUGGAUUCACUCAGCACAUCCAAGAAAUGGGUGUGGCCACGUGUGGAGCAAACCUGAAGAAAUGCAGGCUUACAGGUGUAAGCAGCUAAAUCGCAAACGGCAUGGCCCGAGGGCCAAAGAUAAAUGAAUAAAUAAAAUCUUUCCACAAAAGCCAUUUAGCCUUGAUAACUGAGUGAUAAGCGCCAUGGUACAGGAUAACGUGACAAACAGGGAAGACUUGGCUACUGAAAACUGCACUGGAGAGAUUAAAAAAAGAAAUGAGAAAUUGAGGGCUUUAAAUUUUCCACUCACUACGAUGAGGGAACCAGCGAAUUUUGAGCCUUAAAAGAAUUUUCUUUUGAUUUUGUGGGUUUUGGUAGCCAGAAAUCAAUCACAGAGUCUGACCCUAUGGUAGCCUAUCAAAUUACAGCAUAGGUUGAAUUCACAGACUUGCCAGAUUCCUUAUAUGAAACUGCAUCACUUGGGAAAGAGGAAGGCUCAGAGAAUUGGAGAGGCGAACCUUGGAAAGAUUUGGAAAAUUCUCCUAAUUCGACACUAAAGCCACUGACCAUCUAUGACAGCAAAUGUGGCCCCUCCUACCUCGUGUACUGGUCUUUCCCCGCCUUAGAAACCUUUGCUUAUGUAGUCACCUUGCCUGGGGAUGCUAAUUUGCUUCAUGUCCCCUCCUGCCUCCACCAUUUCCUCCAGACCCAGAAGCAGAAUCUGACCUCAGAUACCGCACGGUCCCAGUGACAAAGCCAUGCCUCAAAGAAAAAUGGUGUGCACUUCAAAACACUGCAACAUUUUAUUAAAGGAGAAGUGUGCUGACACUCACAAUAUUUGGAGAUCUCACCAGGUACCCCAUUGCACAGGAGUCAGCCUCAUAGAGAAUGAAAUGGCUUCUUGAAACCAGCACUUGUGGGGCUAGCUGGAGCUCCACAUCUUGUGAGUUGGGAUCUGCAUAGAAGAGGAAAUCUCUUCCCACCCAGUGACCAAUGUAUGUGUGGUCAGGAAGGAGUGCAACCUGGAGUAACACCAUUCAUAAGACGUUGAAGACAGUCUUGCAGAAUUGUUGCUUUCUCCUUCACAGUGACCAGAGCUUGCGAAGCUCUGGCUGGCCAAUUCUCAGUUCCACGUCAACCCCUAGUAUGAAGCAUCAUGUCCACGCAAAACAGCUUAUUGGAGAAUUGGGAAGAUAGUAGUUCUCCAGGAGAAUAUGUGGAUAUGAUUGCUGGAAGAAGGGAAAGGAAUGGGUGGCAGAAAAAAAA
This is a long non-coding RNA of Lutra lutra (Eurasian river otter), 2362 nucleotides long. RefSeq lists it as uncharacterized. The transcript is spliced from 3 exons. NCBI's taxonomy places the organism in Eukaryota, Metazoa, Chordata, Mammalia, Carnivora, Mustelidae. The record is from RefSeq and is a predicted model, not a curated record.